RNAcentral lists this ribosomal RNA (253 nucleotides) under uncultured bacterium. RNAcentral describes it as "partial 16S ribosomal RNA". It matches the Rfam family "Bacterial small subunit ribosomal RNA", at positions 524 to 776 of the family's 1533-position model. The record is from RNAcentral.
UACGAAGGGGGCUAGCGUUGUUCGGAAUUACUGGGCGUAAAGGGCGCGUAGGCGGUACUUCAAGUCAGGCGUGAAAGCCCCGGGCUCAACCUGGGAACCGCGCUUGAGACUGGAGAACUAGAGUUCGGGAGAGGAUGGUGGAAUUCCCAGUGUAGAGGUGAAAUUCGUAGAUAUUGGGAAGAACACCGAUGGCGAAGGCAGCCAUCUGGACCGACACUGACGCUGAGGCGCGAAAGCGUGGGGAUCAAACAGG